RNAcentral lists this long non-coding RNA (1383 nucleotides) under Homo sapiens (human). Its description in RNAcentral is "HSALNT0288411". The record is from RNAcentral. Lineage: Eukaryota; Metazoa; Chordata; Mammalia; Primates; Hominidae.
CAGCACUCUAACCACAUCACAGGAUUGAUGCCGUCCAUCUACAAGAUGGUCUUACAAAUGGAACCCCAAAUGAGUUCAAUUCAUAACUUCUACGAAGGACCCCUGGACUGACCUGCUGGCUCUUUGAGUGGCCUAGGGAGUUCCCCUCUGGAGGAUGCUACAACUGCAGGGACCCUUUUUCACCCUUGUCCAGCAGGAAGUAGUUACAGCUCUCAUCACCCAGUCCCCAACAGCAGUUGUGGUGUCCUAUGAAGAGGGGAUAUUGAGAGAAGAGGCCAGCUGGACUUCCUGGGUCGACUGGGGACUUGGGGAAAUUUUCUGUUUUACAAGAGGAUUGUAAAAUACACCAUUUAGGAGCUUUCCUGUCUUUCAGGAGGAUUGCAAAAUGCACCAAUCAGCACUCUGUAAAAUGCACUAAUCAGCACGCUGUAAAAGUCACCAAUCAGCGCUCUGUAAAAUACACCAAUCAGCAGGAUUCUAAAAGUAGCCAAUUGUGGGGAGGAUCAAAAAAAGGGCACUCUGAUAGGAUGGAAAUGGAAUAUGGGAAGGGCCAGUAAGGGAAUAAUAGAUGAGCACCCCAGCCAUCAGUGACAACCCACUAGGGUCCCCUUUCAUGCUAUGGAAGCUUUGUCCUUUUGCUCUUCACAAUAAACCUUGCUACUGCUCACUCUUUGGGUCCGUGCCAUCUCUAAGAACUGUAACACUCACCUCAAAGGUCUGCGGCUCCAUUCUUGAAGUCAGGGAGACCACGAACCCACCAGCAGAAACCAACUCCAGACACACUGUCAUCCCUUAAUCUCCCAUUUUCCUUGGAGUGACAUCAUUCACUGUUUUCCCUGGACAUCUCCCUGUCAUAUCAUCAUCAUUUUUUUUUUUUUAACCUAGAUUGACUCAGUCACCUUUUACUGUGUUCCCUGAAGUGAUUUUUUGGUCAACUGUUUUCCUUGAACUUAUUUGGUCAUGGACUCUUUUGCCUAGACUGACUGCGUCAUAGACUGUUUUCCCUGGCAUGAUUCAGCACUCAACUGUUUACCCUGGACAGAUUGCUCAUCAACUCUUUUUCCUGGAUUAACUCAGCAUUGACUGAGUUCCCUGAAUUGACUCGGUACUCAGUUCCUUUUCCUGGUUUGACUAUGUACUCAUUUCCCUAGACUGACUCAGUGCUCAACUCAUUUCCCUGGACUGACUCAGCAGGUCCUCAACUGUGUGCCCUGGACUGUGUGGUACUGGACUACUUCUUGGAUUGAGUCAGUCAUGGACUGUGUUUUCCAGACCAUGGGCAUCUUUGGCUGUCAUCCACCCUCAUCAACUGUUUUCCUUGGAGUGACUAUGUCUUUCACUAUUUUCCACAGUGGGGGCAUCUUCAUGCCAUCCUGUUAUCAG